UACGUAGGGGGCAAGCGUUGUCCGGAUUUAUUGGGCGUAAAGAGCGUGUAGGCGGCUUGGUAGGUCCGCUGUGAAAACUCGAGGCUCAACCUCGAGAUGUCGGCGGAAACCACUUGGCUAGAGUCCGGAAGAGGAGAGUGGAAUUCCCGGUGUAGCGGUGAAAUGCGUAGAGAUGCGGAGGAACACCGAUGGCGAAGGCAGCCCCCUGGGCUAACACUGACGCUCAGGCACGAAAGCGUGGGGAGCAAACAGG
RNAcentral lists this ribosomal RNA (253 nucleotides) under uncultured bacterium. Its description in RNAcentral is "partial 16S ribosomal RNA". It matches the Rfam family "Bacterial small subunit ribosomal RNA", at positions 524 to 776 of the family's 1533-position model. The record is from RNAcentral.